This 446-nucleotide ribosomal RNA is filed under the name uncultured bacterium. Its description in RNAcentral is "bacterial SSU rRNA". It matches the Rfam family "Bacterial small subunit ribosomal RNA", at positions 331 to 794 of the family's 1533-position model. The record is from RNAcentral.
CCAGACUCCUACGGGAGGCAGCAGUGGGGAAUAUUGCACAAUGGGGGAAACCCUGAUGCAGCGACGCCGCGUGAGCGAUGAAGUAUUUCGGUAUGUAAAGCUCUAUCAGCAGGGAAGAAAAUGACGGUACCUGACUAAGAAGCCCCGGCUCACAACGUGCCAGCAGCCGCGGUAAUACGUAGGGGGCAAGCGUUAUCCGGAUUUACUGGGUGUAAAGGGAGCGUAGACGGUCCUGCAAGCCAGAUGUGAAAGCCCGGGGCUCAACCCCGGGACUGCAUUUGGAACUGUAAGGCUAGAGUGUCGGAGAGGCAGGCGGAAUUCCUAGUGUAGCGGUGAAAUGCGUAGAUAUUAGGAGGAACACCGGCGGCGAAGGCGGCCUGCUGGACCGUAACUGACGUUGAGGCUCGAAAGCGUGGGGAGCAAACAGGAUUAGAUACCCCUGUAAC